UCAAAUCUGACCAGACCGGUUUACUGUUUUGCUAUUGCUCAAUUUAUUGUGGCCCAGUUAAUGCGUGGUUGAAUAUUUUGUGGUUACAUAGUGAAAACGAUGACUAAUCACUGAAUCCUGUCUUAUUUAAGAAAACCUGAAGUCAUUCAUUCAUUCUUUCUGUGUGAUGGAAUCAGGAGCAUCUCUACAUUAGAUCCUGGUGGACUGAGAAGUUAUGAUUGCACACAUUAUAACACCCAUAUCGCACAUCCAAGGACAAUGCACGAGGAUACUCCUGCCAUGUGUUCUGUUAUUUUUGAUCGUAGGAGUUGUGACGGGACAGCGCAGUGUGAGCAACAAAGGGGAUUGUUCUAAAAAUGAAUACUGGAGCGACGGGCUCUGCUGUGACAAAUGUGCUCCAGGGCAUAAGUUGAUAAAGAAAUGCUCUAGUGGAAUGCAAUCUGAAUGUGUGAAAUGUUCAGAUGGGACGUACCAAGACAGUAUGAAUUAUUUCCCCAACUGCUUUAGAUGCCAGAAAUGCACCAAACGUCAUGCAGUGGAGAUUUCACCAUGUACAUACCAAAAUAACACAGUUUGUGGAUGUCAGCCUGGAUACCGCAAAAGAUCCUUAGAUGGGAAUUUAUUAUUCAGUAUUUCAUGGGAUUGUGUGCGCUUAAAAAGGACUCAAAUCCAUAAAGUUAAUUCGCUGGAUCACACAGGUCUACCUCAACCACUGUCUGGCAUUAACAAUAAAAUUACCUCUGAAAAAAGUGCUGCGAAAUGUUUUUAAUAAAGUAAACAUAUGGAUAUCUUUUAUCAUAAUAUUUCAAAGGAUGAACAUUAAGACUGAAUUGAGUUUACUUCAUUAUCCCUACAUUAUUUUUUUACACAAUUAUUAUUAUUAGUACAUUAUUUUAGAAAACUGUAUGUAUCAAAUGAUAGCUACAACAGAUAUUUAUUGAAUGUUUAUUUGUACAUCUCUCAAUCAUAAUUGUAGGCAUUGUAUUGUAUGUUUUGCCCUUACAAAGCUUUGAUCUUAAAGCUAAGCAUCUGAAGAUCAUCUUAUAAGACAUAUAUUAUUGGAAAAUAGAGUUUAGGCCUCUGAAUAAAAUAGAUGUUUUUCCCCCUAAAUUCUCACUAUAUCAUGAUAUGGACCGUUGUAUGCCUGAUGUAAAACAUGAAACACAUGCAAACUAUUUUUAAAAAAAAUAUUUUUUCUAAAGGUUCAAUAAACUUACAUUUCGAAAAAUGUUUUUCUGCUUUAUUUUAUAUGUCAAGCUUUACAGGGCUCAUAUUUAAAAUUGUGUUAAUUGAUAGCCUACAUUUGUGUUAGCCUAAAUUAAACUGAUCCUAAUGAAACUAACACAUUUUUUAAUGAGUGAAUGUGUGUUUUGUCUGUAAUGCUUCGUAUAAUUACGUUAGAGUGGUUUUGGUUUCAUAGUUUUGAGAAAAGGUGUUCUAGUUACCAGGAAAUGUCUAAAUCGGUAUGAAUGUCGGUUACGUUAAAAUGAAACCACGUAAAACACCCUAAAUAGCGUCACAUCCGCUUAUGUUGGGAAGCAGACUAAACCUAGACUUUAAAUAAACGGUGACGUAGCCUAUUCAAACUGCAAGAACACAGACUCGUUAUUUAAGCUGAUAGAUAGAUAGAUAGAUAGAUAGAUAGAUAGAUAGAUAGAUAGAUAGAUAGAUAGAUAGAUAGCAUUUAAAGAAUAAUUAAUUAAUUUAAAACGCUAUUAAAAUAUAAUUUUUAAAAAAAAUAAAAUAUAAGCUAAAAUAAGCAUUAAACUGAAUACUGAAACGCGUAUAAAAUGCUAGCGCUUGAGGGCGAGCUUAUCACGUGACAUCGAAAAUAUUUUGGAGCGCAGACGGAAAAACCCGGAAAAACAAAAUAUUUAUCAUCUAAAUGAAAGUCUUUCUUGUCAGUUUUGCAAACUAUCAUAAUUUUUGUGAUAAAAGAGGGACGUCAUGAUGUCUGGUGCUGACCGUGUUGGACUGACCCACUGUAAGUUUGUGCUGGUGUUUGCAGUCCUCAUGGAUCUUUUCGGUGUGUCCACCCUCUUGAUCGGCGUCUUCGUCCCUCUUGAAAUCGGCGGUCGUGACUUUGGUGAUCUGUUGGUGUAUUCUGGAGCUCUGCUGGUGUUGAUGUCUAUGGGUGCCUGGAUCAUGUGGUACAGUGGGAACAUUGAUGGUUUAAUAUCAGGAAAGGAUCUGACACACAAACGCAAUGCUGUGGACCGGCUCGCUCGCACCCUCAGUCGCCGCAUACGGAGACCUCAACGCAGCCACAGCACAUCCUGACCUCUGGGCAUGACAGAGAGCACAUACACAGGGCUGCUGGGAUACCACACACAUGAGCCUAAAAUCUAAUUCGGAAGAGCAGGAAAAUAGCGUUUUACAAGUAUGAAGGUUGACAGAUGUGUUACAAUGUGGUGUUUGCAACUACUGCUACCACAAAACAAGUAUGAAAUUGCAGUUAUUUUGUAGAACCUGUACUGUAGUGCACUAUGUACAACUCACAAAAUGUAUUAAAAAUGCUGAAAAGCUUUAUAUUUUUGUACACAAUUUAGAACAAAGAGUGAAAACUGUUUCUACUGUUUUUCUAUUUCUGUAUUUCUUCUUUUUAAAUGUAUCUUUUGGUGUGUAAAACAUGGAUGAUUAAAUUUGAAACACUGAUACAUUUUUCAUCAUUUAAAAUCAUACAUGCAGCUUUGGUGCUUUAUUUUACCAAUACAGAAACACUCUUCAGACCAAAACUCAAUUUAUAACAAUAGCGAAAAUGUAUUUACAAAGUUCCAUAUUACUAUAUGAAACACUUUUUCCAGUUAACAAAACAUGUAAUCUCUUUCUUUCUCACUCAUUAAAUAGGCAGAGCCACAUGUUUGCUCAUUCAAAAAUACUGCAAAAAUUGCCAUACAUACACCUCCAUUCAUUUCGCAACAAAUAACUUAGAAACCAACAACCAAAUAAUAAUAAAAUUAAAAAUAAAACCUCACCCUCAACACCAAACCUGCAUUGUUAAAAAAAAAAAAAAAAAGAGAGAAGAAAAGAAAAAAAAGAA
Long non-coding RNA from Ctenopharyngodon idella (grass carp), 3040 nucleotides. RefSeq lists it as uncharacterized. The record is from RefSeq and is a predicted model, not a curated record. NCBI's taxonomy places the organism in Eukaryota, Metazoa, Chordata, Actinopteri, Cypriniformes, Xenocyprididae. The transcript is spliced from 6 exons.